GAAAUAUUACAUAGGUAGUGUCUUUAGGUCUUCUAUCUUAUUUAAGAGACUCUUGUAUAAUGCAAGGUUAUACAAAUAUUCUUCUAAAGUUUCUUAUAAUGCUUUAACUAUUUUAUAUUUUGCAUUUAAAUGAUUAUUGUAUCUGGAAUUAAUUUUAAAAUAUCAUGUGAAGUUGGGCUAUAGUGGCAACCCUCCCCCCUUUUCAGGGACUGGGGGCAUUUUUCUCUCCUAUGUAAUUCUUUCUAGGCUUUCCACAUCACUAGGCCCACAUGCAACAAGUAAGCAGGCAUAGUCUUUCUGGAAGAGGAGCACGGGCACCUGCUUGCUAAUUUCCCUCACUACCAAGAAACCUGAAUCAUCACCAGAGACCCCAAACAUAGGAUUUUGAAAACAACAAAGUAGAUGAGAGCAGAGAAAAGGAGGGACAGAUGCACAAUGGGAGAGAAAGAAAGAACAAAAGGGACAGGAGGGGCAAGAUACAUCUGGCUGUGCCUGAAGCAAGAACUACUGUUGGAUUUUUUACUAACAUGAGCCAAUCACUUCUGUUGACUUUAACCAUCUAUACAAAAUCACAGAAGACUGGCAUAUGGAGGUUAACUCAAGGGAUUUGGGGAGAACUUUCUCCUCCAUUAAAAUUUUGAGAAAGAUAUUUUGGUUUCUGGAAAUUUCUGGAAAAGUCCUCAAAGUUAUUAUUUCCUUACUAUACCUCAGGGUUCUUUCCUAACUUUUUAAGAUGGAUUGAGAAGAGACAGAAUCCUUUCCUAAGAAUCUGAAGAAAAGCCACCUCAGACAGUUUUUCUGAAUGCCAUGUUUUCCAACAUUGAGUUCCAGCACAGAUCUCUUGGGCAUCCAGUAAGAGUAAAUAAGUUCUAAUAUCUUGUCAUCUCUUUAAAGGAUAGAAUACUCCUUAACAGCCAAUAAACACACUUUGUAGUGCUUCCUUAGGUGCUUAGUUUGGGAGGUCAAGACCUGAUCAUUGUCAAAUGUUCUUUUGAAGUGAUUUUAGAUACUAUAUAUACACACUAUAUAUAUGUAUAUGUAUAUUAUAGAUACUAUAUAUAUGUAUCUAGUCAGGGUUUGAAUAAUCAAGGGUAACAAAUUUUGUUUCUUUUGUUCUCUUUGUUUGAAGAAAUGCAAAAAAUGAGUUGGUGUUAGCUGUGCAGCUUGAACCAUCCACCCCCUAGGAAGAAUUUACAUGUUUAAGUAUUGGAUUGGUUGGUAGUGCUUUUAAAAUAUGUGUGUUUGGCUCUGCCACUAUCUCAAGGAAUAGCAGCUGCCUUUAAAUGAAAGGCCUAAUACUUUUUUGACUAAUACCGUAACACCCCAUGGAAAUCCCCAUUAGUCCCUUUGAUGGAGCCUUUCGUGCCAUUCAGUGUAUUCUCUUGCCCUAUUUCCCAGGAUGGAAAUUUGACCUAUCCUGCAUCCAGGAGCCUAACACUGCCACAGAAAGGUUUUCAAAUGCUCUUCAAGUACUAUGCAGAUAACCAGAGGAUAGGUGGAGCUAUGUGCUACAACAUUUUUACUUACCUGAGUGGAUAGGACUUAGAGGUAGAAGGUGCUGACAAUAGACAAUGUACUUAAAUAUCCAUAACCCCCCAUGGACUAUGACUGAAUAGUGCUGGCAUAGAGGAGUAGAACCAAAAGGAUUAACACAGAGAACUGUGUCUUGAUAAUUCCUUUUUUAGGGGAACCUUAGUGUAUGGGAAACCUUGCUACAGCUUUUGUCCAAGAAGUGAUGCCAGGCUGAUAGGAAAGCUAGUUUUACUAAACUAGUACUAGUUUACUAAUAGAGCUUUGUAGUUUCCCUGUAGCCUAACCUAGUAGCUUGGGCAAGCUGUGUUUAAGCCACUGACAUUCGUAAGCUCUGUAAGUAAUAUCUGCAUAAUUUUAUUUAUGGUUAGAGGUGGAGAGACCGAAAAGGUAACAGCUCACCUUUCCCCAGCCCUCCAUUUUGAACAUACUGUCUCCAGGUAUGUGGCUAGUGAUGUAAGGAUAAAUUCCUCUAUUGGAAUAUCUGAGUUAUUAUUCCAGGGAAAAUCAAGAAGCAGAGUUGUGUCUAGAUAAAUAAUGGAAAUAUGUGUUUUCUUAAUUUUCUUUUGUGUAUCUUUGUUUUGCAAUUUUUCCAAGAUGAGUGUGGAUUACGUUUCAGAUAAAAAAAAGUUGUAUUUAAAAUUAAGUUCAACGUUUUCUAGCAACAGUUUCAGCUCCUGUCUCUGACUCUGCUUCUUUCCUCAAAGGAUUGCAAAUGCAAGGAUUUCUAUACCUUAUCUACUCGUUUAAAAACAUUCUUGAGAUCCAUCGCAAGUAGCAGCUGUUAUAAGAACUUUCUACUCCCUUAAACACCUAAUCCCCUGUGACACAUUCCAUUUAUCCUCCUUUUGUGGUGACUACAGCUUUAGCUGCCCCAUGUGGGGAGACUUGCUGGUUUUAUUUCAUUGCUCUGGAUUGCUGCUCUUAGAUUGCUGAAAAAUGAACUUAUUCUAUAGCACUCA
Molecule: long non-coding RNA, 2492 nt
Organism: Felis catus (domestic cat)
Lineage: Eukaryota; Metazoa; Chordata; Mammalia; Carnivora; Felidae
Exons: 3
Source: RefSeq, a predicted model, not a curated record